Molecule: transfer RNA, 73 nt
Filed under: Planctomycetota bacterium
Lineage: Bacteria; Pseudomonadati; Planctomycetota
Also listed under: 1 other name
Description: Planctomycetes bacterium tRNA-Thr
Rfam family: tRNA
About the family: Transfer RNA (tRNA) molecules are approximately 80 nucleotides in length. Their secondary structure includes four short double-helical elements and three loops (D, anti-codon, and T loops).
Source: RNAcentral
GCCAGCGGGGCGCGAGUGGCAGCGCACCGCACCCGUAAUGCGGACCGUGUGAGUUCAAGUCUCACCGCUGGCU